CAGCCGCCGCGGUAAUACAGAGGGUGCGAGCGUUAAUCGGAUUAACUGGGCGUAAAGCGUGCGUAGGCGGCUUCUUAAGUCGGAUGUGAAAUCCCUGAGCUUAACUUAGGAAUUGCAUUCGAUACUGGGAAGCUAGAGUAUGGGAGAGGAUGGUAGAAUUCCAGGUGUAGCGGUGAAAUGCGUAGAGAUCUGGAGGAAUACCGAUGGCGAAGGCAGCCAUCUGGCCUAAUACUGACGCUGAGGUACGAAAGCAUGGGGAGCAAACAGGAUUAGAGACCCCCGUAGUCCCUGUCUCUUAUAC
RNAcentral lists this ribosomal RNA (301 nucleotides) under uncultured bacterium. Its description in RNAcentral is "partial 16S ribosomal RNA". It matches the Rfam family "Bacterial small subunit ribosomal RNA", at positions 509 to 807 of the family's 1533-position model. The record is from RNAcentral.